AUUGAACGCUGGCGGCAUGCCUAACACAUGCAAGUCGAACGGCAACACGGGUGCUUGCCCCUGUUGGCGAGUGGCGAACGGGUGAGUAAUACAUGGGCACACUUCCUGUAGUGGGGGAAGGACCGGCGGAAGCCGCGUCUAUAACGCCUACGAUGAAGGGAACACAGGGGGAUACUUUGGGACCUCGCUCUCUGGGGUUACUCGUGGGCGGAUUAGCGAGUUUGUGGGGGAAAGGCCUACCAAGGCGAGGAUAAGGAGCUGGUCCGAGAGGGUGAUCAGCCACACUGGAACUGAGACACGGUCCAGACUCCUACGGGAGGCAGCAGUGGGGAAUUUUGGACAAUGGGCGAAAGCCUGACCCAGCAAUGCCGCGUGUGGGAAGAAGGCCUUCGGUUUGUAAAGCACUUUUGUCCGGAAAGAACUGCUUUGAGCUAAGACGGAGCGGGGAUGACGGUACCUGAAGAAUAAGCACCGGCUAACUACGUG
This 486-nucleotide ribosomal RNA is filed under the name uncultured bacterium. Its description in RNAcentral is "partial 16S ribosomal RNA". It matches the Rfam family "Bacterial small subunit ribosomal RNA", at positions 29 to 507 of the family's 1533-position model. The record is from RNAcentral.